GCCGAGCUCAGCAGCGCGAGCUUGUAACCCGAGCGGGGGCAUUAAGGUGGUGUGGACGUUGCCGUGUGGCUGCGGGCCUGGGUUGGCAGUGCCAUAGAUGGCCCGCCCGUUCCAAGUUGCGUAGUUGGGCCGGCGGGGCUUGAGCGAAAGCUUUCUGGCCUCACGGUUCCUAGAGUGGCAGGCAUUGCGUGAGGCUGGCUUCACAGAGCAGCGAAUACUGUCCGCAUCCAACGGUGGAAGGAUAACGGGCCGCCGCUCUGCUGGCCCGCUUGGGUCUCGCAGCCUACUCCAACGGACCACCACUUUU
Non-coding RNA from Oryza glumipatula, 307 nucleotides. The record is from Rfam. NCBI's taxonomy places the organism in Eukaryota, Viridiplantae, Streptophyta, Magnoliopsida, Poales, Poaceae.